CAGCCGCCACGGUAACACGGAGGGUGCAAGCGUUAUCCGGAUUUAUUGGGUUUAAAGGGUCCGUAGGCGGACUUAUAAGUCAGUGGUGAAAGCCUGUCGCUUAACGAUAGAACUGCCAUUGAUACUGUAAGUCUUGAGUAUAUUUGAGGUAGCUGGAAUAAGUAGUGUAGCGGUGAAAUGCAUAGAUAUUACUUAGAACACCAAUUGCGAAGGCAGGUUACCAAGAUAUAACUGACGCUGAGGGACGAAAGCGUGGGUAGCGAACAGGAUUAGAUACCCCGGUAGUCCCUGUCUCUUAUAC
Molecule: ribosomal RNA, 301 nt
Filed under: uncultured bacterium
Lineage: Bacteria
Description: partial 16S ribosomal RNA
Rfam family: Bacterial small subunit ribosomal RNA
Source: RNAcentral